GGAGUUUGAUCCUGGCUCAGGAUGAACGCUGGCGGCGUGCCUAAUACAUGCAAGUCGAACGCUUCACUUCGGUGAAGAGUGGCGAACGGGUGAGUAAUACAUAAGUAACCUGGCAUCUACAGGGGGAUAACUGAUGGAAACGUCAGCUAAGACCGCAUAGGUGUAGAGAUCGCAUGAACUCUAUAUGAAAAGUGCUACGGGACUGGUAGAUGAUGGACUUAUGGCGCAUUAGCUUGUUGGUAGGGUAACGGCCUACCAAGGCGACGAUGCGUAGCCGACCUGAGAGGGUGACCGGCCACACUGGGACUGAGACACGGCCCAGACUCCUACGGGAGGCAGCAGUAGGGAAUUUUCGGCAAUGGGGGAAACCCUGACCGAGCAACGCCGCGUGAAGGAAGAAGUAAUUCGUUAUGUAAACUUCUGUCAUAGAGGAAGAACGGUGGAUAUAGGGAAUGAUAUCCAAGUGACGGUACUCUAUAAGAAAGCCACGGCUAACUACGUGCCAGCAGCCGCGGUAAUACGUAGGUGGCGAGCGUUAUCCGGAAUUAUUGGGCGUAAAGAGGGAGCAGGCGGCACUAAGGGUCUGUGGUGAAAGAUCGAAGCUUAACUUCGGUAAGCCAUGGAAACCGUAGAGCUAGAGUGUGUGAGAGGAUCGUGGAAUUCCAUGUGUAGCGGUGAAAUGCGUAGAUAUAUGGAGGAACACCAGUGGCGAAGGCGACGAUCUGGCGCAUAACUGACGCUCAGUCCCGAAAGCGUGGGGAGCAAAUAGGAUUAGAUACCCUAGUAGUCCACGCCGUAAGCGAUGAGUACUAAGUGUUGGGGGUCAAACCUCAGUGCUGCAGUUAACGCAAUAAGUACUCCGCCUGAGUAGUACGUUCGCAAGAAUGAAACUCAAAGGAAUUGACGGGGGCCCGCACAAGCGGUGGAGCAUGUGGUUUAAUUCGAAGCAACGCGAAGAACCUUACCAGGUCUUGACAUCGAUCUAAAGGCUCCAGAGAUGGAGAGAUAGCUAUAGAGAAGACAGGUGGUGCAUGGUGUCGUCAGCUCGUGUCGUGAGAUGUUGGGUUAAGUCCCGCAAUGAGCGCAACCCCUGUUGCCAGUUGCCAGCAUUAAGUUGGGGACUCUGGCGAGACUGCCGGUGACAAGCCGGAGGAAGGCGGGGAUGACGUCAAAUCAUCAUGCCCCUUAUGACCUGGGCUACACACGUGCUACAAUGGACAGAGCAGAGGGAAGCGAAGCCGCGAGGUGGAGCGAAACCCAUAAAACUGUUCUCAGUUCGGACUGCAGUCUGCAACUCGACUGCACGAAGAUGGAAUCGCUAGUAAUCGCGAAUCAGCAUGUCGCGGUGAAUACGUUCUCGGGCCUUGUACACACCGCCCGUCACACCAUGAGAGUCGGUAACACCCGAAGCCGGUGGCCUAACCGCAAGGAAGGAGCUGUCUAAGGUGGGACUGAUGAUUGGGGUGAAGUCGGAACAUGGUA
This 1482-nucleotide ribosomal RNA is filed under the name metagenome. RNAcentral describes it as "bacterial SSU rRNA". It matches the Rfam family "Bacterial small subunit ribosomal RNA". The record is from RNAcentral.